Ricinus communis (castor bean) is the source of this 3445-nucleotide RNA transcript. RefSeq lists it as uncharacterized. The record is from RefSeq and is a predicted model, not a curated record. NCBI's taxonomy places the organism in Eukaryota, Viridiplantae, Streptophyta, Magnoliopsida, Malpighiales, Euphorbiaceae. The transcript has 4 exons.
CUCUUUCCCGAUCACAAUAAUACUGAAACCUAACCUAAAUAGAGAACCAGACCAUUAAAGCAGACCCAAACUUGGUUGACCCGAAACUUUCAUCCCCAUCUGGUUUGUACGGCGACCGAACCUCCAACAUAAAGCUUCGGUUUCUCUUCCCGCAAUAAUCAGAUCACCGGUGGUGAACCCAGAACCAAUUGGCUCAAUCCAAUCGACUCUCUGCUGCCCUAACCGGUUCGCCCAAUUUUCGGUUUUUUAUCCUUAAUUUUUCAUUUUCUUCUUAAAUAAAAAAAGAAAAGACAGGUAUGAUACUUUCUUCGAUAGUUCUCUGUUGCUCAAUAUGUUUAAAGGGCUGUUGAAUUAUCACGUUAUAUGCUUCUGUGUAGUUACAAAGAUAAUGUCUUCGUUGGGUUUUCUUUAGUUCAUGAAAGAGUCUACGUGCUUAUGCAGAUAAUAUAUUUAUAGUCAUUGUUGAAGAAAGAAAGAAAGAGACACCCAAAAGCAAGAAUUGAACGUUUUGUAAUAGAAUGGAGAUACAGACACCACCAAGUUUAGGCCAUAAACAUGACUUGGGGUGGAAGUAUUGUGAAAUGAUUAAGGAAGGAGAGAAAGUGCACAUAAAAUGUAGUUAUUGUGGUAAAAUCUUUAAAGGUGGUGGGAUUUUUAGAUUCAAAGAACAUUUAGCUGGUCGAAAAGGUGGAGGACCAAUGUGUCUAAACGUUCCAGCUGAUGUUCGUCUUUUGAUGGAACAAACUCUUGAUGUUUCUUCUGCUAAGCAGAGUAGCAGGAGGCAGAGUAGCAGGCUGAAGAUGACUCCAGAACUACCAUCUUUACCUAAUAAUAAAAAUAGUGAUGACUUUGAUUGUCCUGAAGAACAUGUGCCCAUUAUCGUUACCCGCCAUAAAAAGGAUAUGGCAUGGAAAUAUUGUCAACCUUCUAAAUAUGGUGAUAGGGUCCAGAUAAAGUGUAAUUAUUGCGGUAUAGUGUUUAAGGGUGGUGGCAUUCAUAGAUUCAAGGAGCAUCUUGCUGGUCGUAAGGGCGCUGCGCCCAUUUGCGAUCGAGUUCCUUCUGAUGUUCGACUUUUGAUGCAACAGUGUUUACAUGAGGUUGUACCAAAGCAAAAAAAACAAAAAGUGGUUAUUGAGGAAACGAUUAAUGUUGAUUCACCUCCUGUUCCUCUUAAUACUGACACAUUUGCUAAUCAUUUUGGUGAUGAGGAUGAUGACAACGGAGCCCCCAUUUCAGUUGAAUUAAAUUCGAAUUUGUCACUGGAAGAAGAUGAUGUGUUAAAUCAAGGAAAUUUGCACACAAGGAAGAGGGGAAGAGGUAAAACUUCGGCAAUUGUUGAUCAUGGCGAUCCUUUAGAUGUUGUACAUUUGAAGAUGAUUGACAAUGUAAUCCACACAACAGUAGGCCGAUUCUUGUAUGAUAUAGGAGCAAAUUUUGAUGCUUUAGACUCUAUAUAUUUUCGAAGUUUGAUUGAUAUGCUUUCUUCUGGAGCAUCGGGGGCAGUAGCACCUUCAAAUCAUGAUCUUCGUGGUUGGAUACUGAAGAAGUUAGUUGAGGAAAUAAAGAAUGACAUUGAUCAAUCUAGGACAACAUGGGCCAGGACUGGUUGUUCUGUCUUGGUUGAAGAAUGGAACUCAGAGAGUGGUAUAACCUUACUAAAUUUUUUGGUGAAUUGUUCUCAAGGAACUGUGUUUUUGAAAUCCGUGGAAGCAUCGCACAUCAUAUAUUCUCCAGAUGGUUUAUAUGUGUUGCUUAAACAGGUGGUGGAAGAAGUUGGAGCUAGUAAUGUGUUGCAGGUGAUUACUAAUGGUAAUGAGCAUUAUACUGUUGCUGGCAAAAGGUUGAUGGAAGCUUUUCCUUCUCUGUUUUGGGCUCCUUGUGCAGUCCAUUGCCUCGAUUUGAUACUAGAGGAUUUUGCAAAACUUGAGUGGAUAGAUGCAGUAAUUGAACAGGCUAAAUCCGUCACAAGAUUUGUCUACAAUCACAGUGCAGUUCUGAAUCUAAUGAGAAAGUUUACUUAUGGCAAGGAUAUUGUGCAACAGGGAUUAACUCUUUCUGCCACAAACUUUACAAUGUUGCAAAGGAUGGCUGAUUUUAAACUGAAUUUGCAAACUAUGAUUACUUCGCAAGAGUGGAUGGACUGCCCAUAUUCGAAGCAACACGGGGGAUUGGCAAUGUUAGAUAUUAUAAGUAAUCGAUCAUUUUGGUCUUCAUGCAUCUUGAUAAUCCGCUUAACAAGUCCGCUCAUACGAGUUUUAGGUAUAGCUGGUGGUAAAAGGAAAGCUGCAAUGGGAUAUAUUUUUGCAGGAAUCUAUCGAGCAAAAGAAACUAUUAAGAGAGAACUUGUUAAAAGAGAGGAUUACAUGGUCUACUGGAAUAUUAUAGAUCAUAGGUGGGAUCAACGACGGCAUCCUCCUCUUCAUGUUGCAGGUUUCUUCCUUAACCCCAAGUUCUUUUAUAGCAUUGAAGGAGAUGUGCAUAAUGAGAUUCUAUCAAGAGUGUUUGACUGCAUAGAGAGAUUGGUUCCUGAUAUAGAAGUUCAAGAUAAGAUUGCGAAAGAAUUAAACAUCUACAAGAAUGCUGUAGGAGAUCUUGGGCGGAAGAUGGCAAUUAGAUCAAGAGGAACUCUGCUUCCUGGAGCAAUCAUAUUCCUUUUGAAAAGGUACAUGCCACUAGAAACUGUUUGGAGCAGAAACGACGCAGUGAUCUUGUCUUUGUGCAGUGCAAUUUGCGUCUCAAAGAAAUGGUUGAUGAAAGCAAAAACCAGGUACCUUUGGACCCUAUAUCAUUUGACAAUAUUAGUAUUGUGGAGGACUGGAUCCUGCAAAAUGAUAUUUGUUUAGAAGACUACGAGAGUGCAGAUUGGAUGUCUCUAGUUCCCCCUUCUGCUAACAAUAUGCCAGCAGGAUCCGCAGUUGAUGAAAUUGAAGACUUAGGUGUUGGGUUCACGGACUUUGAGAUUUUUGAAAGACUGAAGGAAUUUAAGUAAGAAGAUCAGGAAUCACACAGCAAAUCACUGGAAACAUUGACGACUGACUACGCUUUGUAUGACAACCACAACUCAGACAGAGUAUGAUGUUUUGUCAUUGAGGCUCUCUUUGACAGCUAUUAGCUCAGAAAUUGUGAAGAUGGAAUUGAAAAACCCAGUACCUUUGAGUUUUAAAUGAUUUAGAUAAGUAUUCUCUCUCUCCUAAAACCAACAAAAACAAUCAUAUUUGAGAUGUGUCCAAAACAAAACUGAAGCUGUUGCUAAGAUUAAACUGAAUAGAAGGGGUAAUCUAGCUGCUUUGAAUAUGAGAAACUGAAGCUGUUGCUAAGAUGAAACAGAAUAAAAGGGGUAAUCUAGCUGCUUUUGAAUAUGAGCCUGUGAAUGCUGAUAAUGCUGGUCAAGUAUUGUUACAUUAUUGUGAUUACUAAUGAAGCCUUGCAGUAAGAUUCAGAGAAA